AUUGAACGCUGGCGGCAGGCCUAACACAUGCAAGUCGAGCGGAUGAAGGGAGCUUGCUCCUGGAUUCAGCGGCGGACGGGUGAGUAAUGCCUAGGGAUCUGCCUGGUAGUGGGGGAUAACGUCCGGAAACGGGCGCUAAUACCGCAUACGUCCUGAGGGAGAAAGUGGGGGGUCUUCGGACCUCACGCUAUCAGAUGAGCCUAGGUCGGAUUAGCUAGUUGGUGGGGUAAAGGCCUACCAAGGCGACGAUCCGUAACUGGUCUGAGAGGAUGAUCAGUCACACUGGAACUGAGACACGGUCCAGACUCCUACGGGAGGCAGCAGUGGGGAAUGUUGGACAAUGGGCGAAAGCCUGAUCCAGCCAUGCCGCGUGUGUGAAGAAGGUCUUCGGAUUGUAAAGCACUUUAAGUUGGGAGGAAGGGCAGUAAGUUAAUACCUUGCUGUUUUGACGUUACCAACAGAAUAAGCACCGGCUAACUUCGUG
This 484-nucleotide ribosomal RNA is filed under the name uncultured bacterium. RNAcentral describes it as "partial 16S ribosomal RNA". It matches the Rfam family "Bacterial small subunit ribosomal RNA", at positions 30 to 507 of the family's 1533-position model. The record is from RNAcentral.